GACGAACGCUGGCGGCGUGCUUAACACAUGCAAGUCGAACGGAAAGGCCCUGCUUUUGUGGGGUUCUCGAGUGGCGAACGGGUGAGUAACACGUGAGUAACCUGCCCUUGACUUUGGGAUAACUUCAGGAAACUGGGGCUAAUACCGGAUAGGAGCUCCUGCUGCGUGGUGGGGGUUGGAAAGUUUCGGCGGUUGUGGAUGGACUCGCGGCUUAUCAGCUUGUUGGUGGGGUAGUGGCUUACCAAGGCUUUGACGGGUAGCCGGCCUGAGAGGGUGACCGGCCACAUUGGGACUGAGAUACGGCCCAGACUCCUACGGGAGGCAGCAGUGGGGAAUAUUGCACAAUGGGCGGAAGCCUGAUGCAGCAACGCCGCGUGCGGGAUGACGGCCUUCGGGUUGUAAACCGCUUUCGCCUGUGACGAAGCGUGAGUGACGGUAAUGGGUAAAGAAGCACCGGCUAACUACGUG
RNAcentral lists this ribosomal RNA (468 nucleotides) under uncultured bacterium. RNAcentral describes it as "partial 16S ribosomal RNA". It matches the Rfam family "Bacterial small subunit ribosomal RNA", at positions 28 to 507 of the family's 1533-position model. The record is from RNAcentral.